GAUGAACGCUGGCGGCGUGCCUGAUACAUGCAAGUCGAGCGAAUGGAUUAAGAGCUUGCUCUUAUGAAGUUAGCGGCGGACGGGUGGGUAACACGUGAGUAACCUGCCCAUAAGACUGGGAUAACUCCGGGAAACCGGGGCUAAUACCGGAUAACAUUUUGAACCGCAUGGUUCGAAAUUGAAAGGCGGUUUCGGCUGUCACUUAUGGAUGGACCCGGGUCGCAUUAGCUAGUUGGUGAGGUAACGGCUCACCAAGGCAACGAUGCGUAGCCGACCUGAGAGGGUGAUCGGCCACACUGGGACUGAGACACGGCCCAGACUCCUACGGGAGGCAGCAGUAGGGAAUCUUCCGCAAUGGACGAAAGUCUGACGGAGCAACGCCGCGUGAGUGAUGAAGGCUUUCGGGUCGUAAAACUCUGUUGUUAGGGAAGAACAAGUGCUAGUUGAAUAAGCUGGCACCUUGACGGUACCUAACCAGAAAGCCACGGCUAACUACGUGCCAGCAGCCGCAGUAA
This 515-nucleotide ribosomal RNA is filed under the name uncultured bacterium. RNAcentral describes it as "partial 16S ribosomal RNA". It matches the Rfam family "Bacterial small subunit ribosomal RNA", at positions 28 to 523 of the family's 1533-position model. The record is from RNAcentral.